CCUACGGGAGGCAGCAGUGGGGAAUCUUGCGCAAUGGGGGAAACCCUGACGCAGCGACGCCGCGUGGAGGAUGAAGGUCUUCGGGUUGUAAACUCCUUUUCUUGGGGAAAAUGAUGAUGGUACUCAAGGAAUAAGCCACGGCUAACUCUGUGCCAGCAGCCGCGGUAAGACAGAGGUGGCGAGCGUUGUUCGGAAUUACUGGGCUUAAAGGGCGAGUAGGCGGUAGAGCAAGUCUGAGGUGGAAUCCUAUGGCUUAACCAUAGAACUGCCUUAGAAACUGCUUUACUUGAGUCAGUGAGGGGAGGGCGGAAUUCCCGGUGUAGUGGUGAAAUGCGUAGAUAUCGGGAGGAACACCAGUGGCGAAGGCGAUCUUCUGGACUGUUUCUGACGCUCAGACGCGAAAGCUAGGGUAGUAAACGGGAUUAGAGACCCCGGUAAUCCUAGCCGUAAACGAUGUGAACUUGGCGUCGGUAGCUUAAACACUAUCGGUGCCGUAGCAAACGCGAUAAGUUCACCGCCUGGGGACUACGAUUGCAAGAUUAAAACUUAAAGGAAUUGACGG
Molecule: ribosomal RNA, 562 nt
Filed under: uncultured bacterium
Lineage: Bacteria
Description: bacterial SSU rRNA
Rfam family: Bacterial small subunit ribosomal RNA
Source: RNAcentral